GACGAACGCUGGCGGCGUGCCUAAUACAUGCAAGUCGAGCGAAGUUUUUCUGGUGCUUGCACUAGAAAAACUUAGCGGCGACCGGGUGAGUAACACGUAAAGAACCUGCCUCAUAGACUGGGACAACUAUUGGAAACGAUAGCUAAUACCGGAUAACAGUAUUUCUCGCAUGAGAGAUAUUUAAAAGUUGGUUAUGCUAACACUUUGAGAUGGCUUUGCGGUGCAUUAGCUAGUUGGUGGGGUAAAGGCCCACCAAGGCGACGAUGCAUAGCCGACCUGAGAGGGUGAUCGGCCACACUGGGACUGAGACACGGCCCAGACUCCUACGGGAGGCAGCAGUAGGGAAUCUUCCGCAAUGGGCGAAAGCCUGACGGAGCAACGCCGCGUGAGUGAAGAAGGAUUUCGGUUCGUAAAGCUCUGUUGUUAGGGAAGAAUGGAUAUGUAGUAACUAUACAUGUAAGAGACGGUACCUAACCAGAAAGCCACGGCUAACUACGUG
Molecule: ribosomal RNA, 499 nt
Filed under: uncultured bacterium
Lineage: Bacteria
Description: partial 16S ribosomal RNA
Rfam family: Bacterial small subunit ribosomal RNA
Source: RNAcentral